Molecule: ribosomal RNA, 434 nt
Filed under: uncultured Oribacterium sp.
Lineage: Bacteria; Bacillati; Bacillota; Clostridia; Lachnospirales; Lachnospiraceae
Description: partial 16S ribosomal RNA
Rfam family: Bacterial small subunit ribosomal RNA
Source: RNAcentral
ACGGGAGGCAGCAGUGGGGAAUAUUGGACAAUGGGGGAAACCCUGAUCCAGCGACGCCUCGUGAGUGAAGAAGUAUUUCGGUAUGUAAAGCUCUAUCAGCAGGGAAGAUAAUGACGGUACCUGACUAAGAAGCCCCGGCUAACUACGUGCCAGCAGCCGCGGUAAUACGUAGGGGGCAAGCGUUAUCCGGAUUUACUGGGUGUAAAGGGAGCGUAGACGGCAUAGCAAGUCUGAAGUGAAAUCAUAGGGCUUAACCCUGUAAUUGCUUUGGAAACUGUUAAGCUUGAGUACCGGAGGGGCAGGCGGAAUUCCUGGUGUAGCGGUGAAAUGCGUAGAUAUCAGGAAGAACACCGGUGGCGAAGGCGGCCUGCUGGACGGUAACUGACGUUGAGGCUCGAAAGCGUGGGGAGCAAACAGGAUUAGAUACCCUGGUA